This 393-nucleotide ribosomal RNA is filed under the name uncultured bacterium. Its description in RNAcentral is "partial 16S ribosomal RNA". It matches the Rfam family "Bacterial small subunit ribosomal RNA", at positions 338 to 729 of the family's 1533-position model. The record is from RNAcentral.
CCUACGGGUGGCUGCAGUGAGGAAUAUUGGUCAAUGGGCGCGAGCCUGAACCAGCCAAGUCGCGUGAGGGACGACUGCCCUAUGGGUUGUAAACCUCUUUUAUCGGGGAGUAAAAGGCGGCCCGUGUGGCGUUUCGUAUGUACCCUAAGAAAAAGCAUCGGCUAACUCCGUGCCAGCAGCCGCGGUAAUCCGGAGGAGGCGAGCGUUAUCCGGAUUUAUUGGGUUUAAAGGGUGGGCAGGCGGAUUAUAAAGUCAUUGUGAAAAUUGGGGGGCUAAACCGAAUCGAGCAGUUGAAAAUGGUUGUCUUGAGUAAGCGAGAGGUAUGCGGAAUGCGUGGUGUAGCGGUGAAAUGCAUAGAUAUCACGCAGAACUCCGAUUGCGAAGGCAGCAUAC